RNAcentral lists this unclassified non-coding RNA (697 nucleotides) under Homo sapiens (human). RNAcentral describes it as "F-box and leucine rich repeat protein 6 (ENSG00000285442.2)". The record is from RNAcentral. Lineage: Eukaryota; Metazoa; Chordata; Mammalia; Primates; Hominidae.
CGGUGUGACUGCUGACGCUCUGGUCAUGCUAGCCAAAGCCUGCUGCCAGCUCCAUAGCCUGGACCUACAGCACUCCAUGGUGGAGUCCACAGCUGUGGUGAGCUUCUUGGAGGAGGCAGGGUCCCGAAUGCGCAAGUUGUGGCUGACCUACAGCUCCCAGACGACAGCCAUCCUGGGCGCACUGCUGGGCAGCUGCUGCCCCCAGCUCCAGGUCCUGGAGGUGAGCACCGGCAUCAACCGUAAUAGCAUUCCCCUUCAGCUGCCUGUCGAGGCUCUGCAGAAAGGCUGCCCUCAGCUCCAGGUGCUGCGGCUGUUGAACCUGAUGUGGCUGCCCAAGCCUCCGGGACGAGGGGUGGCUCCCGGACCAGGCUUCCCUAGCCUAGAGGAGCUCUGCCUGGCGAGCUCAACCUGCAACUUUGUGAGCAACGAGGUCCUGGGCCGCCUACUCCACGGCUCUCCCAACCUGCGCUUACUGGAUCUUCGUGGCUGUGCGCGCAUCACGCCGGCUGGCCUUCAGGAUCUGCCAUGUCGGGCUCUGUGAUCAGCGGCUGCCCGGGCCUGCUCUACCUCAACCUGGAGUCCUGCCGCUGCCUUCCCCGGGGUCUGAAGCGGGCCUACCGGGGCCUGGAGGAAGUCCAGUGGUGUCUGGAGCAGCUGCUCACCAGCCCCUCACCCAGCUAGGCAGCCACAGACCUGG